CCCAGACUCCUACGGGAGGCAGCAGUGGGGGAUAUUGCACAAUGGGGGGAACCCUGAUGCAGCGACGCCGCGUGGGUGAAGGAGCGUUUCGGCGCGUAAAGCCCUAUCGGCAGGGAAGAAGGAGGACGGUACCUGACUAAGAAGCCCCGGCUAACUACGUGCCAGCAGCCGCGGUAAUACGUAGGGGGCAAGCGUUAUCCGGAUUUACUGGGUGUAAAGGGGGCGCAGACGGCAGCGCAAGCCAGGAGUGAAAGCCCGGGGCCCAACCCCGGGACUGCUCUUGGAACUGCGCGGCUGGAGUGCAGGAGGGGCAGGCGGAAUUCCUGGUGUAGCGGUGAAAUGCGUAGAUAUCAGGAGGAACACCGGUGGCGAAGGCGGCCUGCUGGACUGCGACUGACGUUGAGGCCCGAAAGCGUGGGGAGCAAACAGGAUUAGAUACCCCCGUACG
This 448-nucleotide ribosomal RNA is filed under the name uncultured bacterium. RNAcentral's name for it is "bacterial SSU rRNA". It matches the Rfam family "Bacterial small subunit ribosomal RNA", at positions 330 to 793 of the family's 1533-position model. The record is from RNAcentral.